AGAACGAACGCUGGCGGCAGGCUUAACACAUGCAAGUCGAACGGGUGUAGCAAUACACCAGUGGCAGACGGGUGAGUAACACGUGGGAACCUUCCUCGUAGUACGGAACAACUCAGGGAAACUUGUGCUAAUACCGUAUACGUCCGAGAGGAGAAAGAUUUAUCGCUAUGAGACGGGCCCGCGUCGGAUUAGGUAGUUGGUGGGGUAACGGCCUACCAAGCCUACGAUCCGUAGCUGAUCUGAGAGGAUGAUCAGCCACACUGGGACUGAGACACGGCCCAGACUCCUACGGGAGGCAGCAGUGGGGAAUCUUGGACAAUGGGCGCAAGCCUGAUCCAGCCAUGCCGCGUGAGUGAAGAAGGCCUUAGGGUUGUAAAGCUCUUUUGGCAGGGACGAUAAUGACGGUACCUGCAGAAUAAGCCCGGCAAACUUCGUGCCAGCAGCCGC
Molecule: ribosomal RNA, 447 nt
Filed under: uncultured bacterium
Lineage: Bacteria
Description: SSU rRNA
Rfam family: Bacterial small subunit ribosomal RNA
Source: RNAcentral